This 220-nucleotide long non-coding RNA is filed under the name Homo sapiens (human). Its description in RNAcentral is "HSALNT0396185". Lineage: Eukaryota; Metazoa; Chordata; Mammalia; Primates; Hominidae. The record is from RNAcentral.
CAGAGGCGGGGGAGGGAAGAGGAGAGGGCUGUCUCCAACUCGGGGAGAAGAACGGCCGGCCGCAAGUUUCCCGGUUUGUGCCAGUUUGGGGAUUUGCGAAUCAGACCGGAGCGGAGGGAACGGCGGACUUUGCCGUGGCAAACCCGGGCUCCGACGACAGAGGCAGCGCAGAAGCUCGCUCCUAAAUGAGACAAUUUUAUUAAAAUCAUAAUUCCUUGCA